RNAcentral lists this transfer RNA (85 nucleotides) under Felis catus (domestic cat). It matches the Rfam family "tRNA". From Rfam's summary of the family: Transfer RNA (tRNA) molecules are approximately 80 nucleotides in length. Lineage: Eukaryota; Metazoa; Chordata; Mammalia; Carnivora; Felidae. The record is from Rfam by way of RNAcentral.
GCCUGGGUGGCUGAGUCGGUUAAGUACCUGACUUCGGCUCAGGUCGUGAUCUCACGCUUUGUGAGUUUGAGCCCCGCCUCGGGCU